This 1887-nucleotide long non-coding RNA is filed under the name Homo sapiens (human). RNAcentral describes it as "HSALNT0398263". The record is from RNAcentral. Lineage: Eukaryota; Metazoa; Chordata; Mammalia; Primates; Hominidae.
AUAAAUAAAUAAAACAGAAAACACACAACACACAACCAAAUGUAGCAGUGAGGCUGGAAGCAAGAUGGAGUCAGUCAUGUUUGAUUUCUCUCCUUACUUAUAAUUCUGCAAAGGAGGUUUCAAUGUUGGGAUGGCAAAUAUUAAGUAUCAACUUGAUUGAAUACAAGAAUGCAAAAUAUUGUUGCUAGGUGUGUCUGAGAGGGCAUUGCCAGAGGAGAUUCACAUCUGAGUCAGUGCACUGGGAGCAGCAGACCCACCCUCAAUCUGGGGGGGCACCAUCCAAUCGGCUGCCAGCCCAGCUAGGAAAAGUAGGCCAAAGAAAACGGAAUGAGUCAACUUGCUGAGUCGUCCAGGCCUUCAUCUUUCUUCUGUGCUGGAUGCUUCCCUGCUCUUGAACAUCAAGACUUCAGGUUCUUUGACUUUUGGACCCUUGGACUUACACCAGUGGUUUGCCAGGUGCUCUCAGGGCUUCCGCCACAGACUGAAGCCUGCACCGUCAGCUUCACUGUCAUAUUUUUCAGGUUUUGGGACUCAGACUGAGCCACUGCUGGCUUCCUUGCUCCUCAGCUUGCAGAUGCCUAUUGUGGGACUUCACCUUACAGUCAUACCCGAUGUGAAGCCUGACUGAGCAGAGUGGAGACCAGCAGCUGCACGUCAAGUGGCCUUCCCAGGACUUGACUCCAUAUGCAUGUUCUCGUCCAUGGGCUCAUACCCAGUCCAAAGGACUUUACCCCAGCUCCAUCUUUGCCCAGACACACUUGAGGCUGCAGGGUUUUGGUAAGAACACAACUGCCAGAUCAAUAAUUGCAUACCAAGUACCAAACUCUGUUUUGAUUUGCCCCAAUAAAGACACAACAUCUGGCACAGCAUCUGUGGUUGGGGCACAAUCUAGCUCUGGUUAUGAAAGUUUACAAUUUCCUGCCCUUGUCUGUGAUACAGUUUGGAUGUGUGUCCCCUCCAACUCUCAUGUUAAAGUGUGAUCCCCAAUGUUGGAGGUGAGGCCUGGGGAGGUGUUUUGGUCAUGGGAGGAGAUUCCUCACAAAUGUCUUGGUGCCCUCCUCACAGUAAUAAGUGAGUUCUCACCCUGUUACUUUGUGCAAGAGCUGGUGACUUGAGUCUGACAUCUCUCCUGUUCUCUGUCUUGCCAUGUGACGUGACUGCUCCUCCUUUGCCUUCUGCCAUAUUGUAAGCUUCCCAAGGCCCUCACCAGAAUCAGAUGCUGGCACCAUGCUUCCUGUACAGCUUAUAAAACCGUGAGCCAAUUAAAUCUCUUUUCCUUAUAAAUUGCCAAGCCUCAGGUAUUCAUUUAUAGCAAUGGAAAUGGACCAACAGAGGUAGUCUGCUUUAUAAUGGGUCAGAACGUGAAUCACAUGAGGAUACGAUAGUGCUUGUUAUUCCUGAAUUUUCCACAUCAUACAAUUCACCUUCUGGGCUCCAUAUAGGGGAAGUGAUUCUGGAAAACGUGGUUCCCACUUCAGAAGGAACAGUGGUGUUGGGGACACGUUGACAACAGAAAGUCUAGCACAGUCCACCCCAUUCAAAAAUAAGCAUCUGUAGACAUUUUCAACUUCCAAAUAAAAGCAGCAACAAUACUAUUUUCCACCUAAUGUGAUGCAACUAUUCAUUUUACAACCCAAAGACCUUUAAUCUUCUCUAUGGAAGAGAUAUUUGAAAAUGCUAGUCCGUCUCCCAGAUGACUAACAACCCCUUUUGCUCUUUCAUGCUAUAAAUACCAAGGAUCAACCAAUAUAAACCUAUAUUACAUAGAGGGGUAUGAAGGCACUGAGACAAAAAGCAGAGGACUCAGUUAAUACAGAAACUAUAUUCACAUCAGCUGGGCAUGGUGGCACAUGUCUGUAGAGCUACUCAGAGGGCUGAGGUGGUAGG